AGGCAUCUCUACCGUCUGGAAAGUUUUUCGGUCUGGGAUGGACUCGCGGCCUAUCAGCUAGUUGGUGAGGUAAUGGCUCACCAAGGCGACGACGGGUAGCCGGCCUGAGAGGGCGACCGGCCACACUGGGACUGAGACACGGCCCAGACUCCUACGGGAGGCAGCAGUGGGGAAUAUUGCACAAUGGGCGAAAGCCUGAUGCAGCGACGCCGCGUGAGGGAUGACGGCCUUCGGGUGU
Molecule: ribosomal RNA, 238 nt
Filed under: uncultured Actinomycetes bacterium
Lineage: Bacteria; Bacillati; Actinomycetota; Actinomycetes
Description: uncultured actinobacterium partial 16S rRNA
Rfam family: Bacterial small subunit ribosomal RNA
Source: RNAcentral